UACGAAGGUGGCAAGCGUUGUUCGGAUUCACUGGGCGUACAGGGAGCGUAGGCGGUUGGGUAAGCCCUCCGUGAAAUCUCCGGGCCCAACCCGGAAAGUGCAGAGGGGACUGCUCAGCUAGAGGACCGGAGAGGAGCGCGGAAUUCCCGGUGUAGCGGUGAAAUGCGUAGAGAUCGGGAGGAAGGCCGGUGGCGAAGGCGGCGCUCUGGAACGUUUCUGGCGCUGAGGCUCGAAAGCGUGGGGAGCAAACAGG
RNAcentral lists this ribosomal RNA (253 nucleotides) under uncultured bacterium. RNAcentral's name for it is "partial 16S ribosomal RNA". It matches the Rfam family "Bacterial small subunit ribosomal RNA", at positions 524 to 776 of the family's 1533-position model. The record is from RNAcentral.